AUACGUAGGUGGCAAGCGUUGUCCGGAUUUAUUGGGUGUAAAGGGCGUGUAGGCGGAGAUGCAAGUCAGGAGUGAAAUCUAGGGGCUCAACCCCUAAACUGCUUUUGAAACUGUAUCCCUUGAGUAUCGGAGAGGCAGGCGGAAUUCCUAGUGUAGCGGUGAAAUGCGUAGAUAUUAGGAGGAACACCAGUGGCGAAGGCGGCCUGCUGGACGACAACUGACGCUGAGGCGCGAAAGCGUGGGGAGCAAACAGGAUUAGAUACCCUGGUAGUCCACGCUGUAAACGAUGAAUACUAGGUGUUGCGGGUAUCGACCCCUGCAGUGCCGGAGUAAACACAAUAAGCAUUCCGCCUGGGGAGUACGGCCGCAAGGUUGAAACUCAAAUGAAUUGACGGGG
Molecule: ribosomal RNA, 397 nt
Filed under: uncultured bacterium
Lineage: Bacteria
Description: partial 16S ribosomal RNA
Rfam family: Bacterial small subunit ribosomal RNA
Source: RNAcentral